Non-coding RNA from Gossypium hirsutum (cotton), 45 nucleotides. The record is from Rfam. Lineage: Eukaryota; Viridiplantae; Streptophyta; Magnoliopsida; Malvales; Malvaceae.
UUAGCGGCGCUUUUUAGCGCCACUAAAGGUCUACUUGAGUUAUUA